UAUUGAACUCAGAGCUCCACCAGUUUUUUCAGGGUUCUGCAAGUCAAAGAAGGCUGGAUGCUGCUUCGUUAGAGAUCAGUUUUCGGGUGAUUCAACUUGCUUUUGCCUGUUUGUAGCUGAGAAAAUUCUGCCAUCUGCUGGAGAGAAGAAAAUCCGUUCUGGUUCCUGCAGCUGCAUCUCUUCCUGCAUCUCAUGCUCUCUUGGCCCAUUGUUGUUUCAGUAUUUUUUAUUUUUUAUUUUAAAAUUUAAGACGGUUUAAUUAUCCUGCAUGCACGAAAAUUUGUGUAAUUUGUGUGCAUACACAUGUUAAUAUCUUGGGCAUUAACUUUGGUUUUUAAUUCCCACUUCUGUUUCAGUGAGACAAACAUAGUCUAGCAUAAUUUGUACUAAUUAGAAGCUACAUGCAGAGAAAAAAGCUUACUUCAGCAUCUUCUAUUACUUCUUGAGGUAUAAGGUGAUUUGAUCUAGUACAUUUCUGAAAAGCAGGGUUUUCAUGCUGACUAGAAUAGAAUAAAGGCAAAUUAACUCAAUAGUAGCUCUCCAAUCCAGUCCAGCUCAUUACUUAUCACUUUGCAAUUUCCCACUAGUUUAUUCCUAGGGAGCACGACCAGCAGUUCUACCAGUGCCUUUGUCUGGGAACAGAAAUGGCUUUUGUCAGCUCUUCAGUAUUGCAGAAAUGAUGUGCUGGAGACCAAGCAUUUACAAGCUAACUGAACAUAGCUAUCUGCCAAAAAAAAAUAUGAAGGAACUUAGAUAUGAUCAACACUGCUUAAGGCUAUGCAAUGGUAUUGCAUCCAAUAUAGAAGACAGUCAUUGAAAGAAAAAAAUUAAGGGUGCAAGAAUCAUCCCAGGGAACAAGAAGACUCACAAAAGGAAACUGAGAAGAGAGCCUAGGUAAAAAAUGUAUAAUGAAAGGGCCAGCAGAUGUUGCCCACUGACUUGACAAGGGAUCAGAAAGAAGCCUCACAGCUAUGGAGGUUCCUUUCUCCCCCCACAAGUAGGCUCUGUCCUUUUGAGAGACAGGUUUAUGACUUUAAAUAUAUUUAUUCCAUUCUGUAACCGAGGAAAACACAACAUGUCAGCAAGAAACUCUGGAAAAGAAGGUUCAACCUGGAACAUCCUGAUUUUAAUGUCUUCCUUUCUUCCUAAAAAAUUGGCAUGUGAUAGAGGAAUUGUACCAAUGGGUUUUCCCCAGCCAGCAUCUUGGCCCCGUGCAACUGCUCACUCACACCCCCCACAGCCCCUCUGUGGGAUGGGGAGAGAAUCCAAAAGGUGACAAUGAGAAAACUUGUGGGUUGAGAUAGAGAUUUUAAUAGGGAAAACAGAAGCCAUGCAUAUAAGCAAAGCAAAAGAAGGAGUUCAUUCACUACUUCCCAGCAGCAGGCAGAAAGAACUGACAUUCCAUACAAUGUGAAUGUUUUACAUCUUUCAUGUUUACCAUUUGAUGGUAGGGUUGAUGCAUUGCUGUUUUCUAUUUCUUCACAACACCAAAACUAACCCGAAGAGAUCUGAGAAAAUGUACUGUGUGCAAGCUAAGUGGCAGGUGAAACAGGUGCAUUGGGUCUCCUUGCUGGAAGAACUCCCUCUCAACAGGAUUAUUGGAUUAAAAUCCUACUGAUACAGCUAAAUAUAAUCCUAUCAAGCUCAGCUCACUGUACAGGAGAAAUGUGAAGUUCUCUACAUGAAAGUUGGAGGCUAAAAACAGACACAUGGGGGGAAGGAGCUUCUCUAAGACAGAAGAGGAGCUGAUACAGCAGAUAUUUAAAGAAGACUUGUCAGACAAGAGCAUACUGAAAGCUGCAGAAAUGACAAACCAGAUCAGGGCUAAGAAUACUUGAACUGGUGAUGCAAAAGAAUAAAAAUAUGCGGGUACUUGAAAAAUGCCUGAGUUGAAUUAAAAAUCCUGUAACAUCAUGUCCUAAAUAACUAAAUAUAAUGCAGAAAAUCAGGACUGACAUAGCUCAUAGAGACAAGCUUAGAUCUAAAGGAGGGAGGAACAUUCUGCAGUGUCAAGGUCUGUGACAGAAUGACUAGUUCUGCAUCUAAUAAAAUAAAAAUGUGAUCUAACACU
Parus major (Great Tit) is the source of this 2071-nucleotide long non-coding RNA. RefSeq lists it as uncharacterized. The transcript is spliced from 3 exons. The record is from RefSeq and is a predicted model, not a curated record. Lineage: Eukaryota; Metazoa; Chordata; Aves; Passeriformes; Paridae.